CCUCUCUUGAGUUUCUAAGUCCAUCCCUGACUGCACCGACAACCCCCGUACCCCCUCUCUUCUCCAACAACCACCAGUGCCACUACCACCAAGAACUUUACAAACUUCACCUCUAGGAAUUCCAGCCGUGGCUCCCUUAAAUUUCUGAUGUAGAUCAGGGUUAUCUAAUCACGGUCUCUCAUUGACAUAUAUAUAUAUAUAUAUAUAUAUAUAUAUAUAUAUAACAUACACUGAUACAAAUAUAUAUAUUUCCUAUAUUAUAUAAUAUUUUAUUUUAUUGUAAGGGUACAUUAAUCAGUUCAUGGUUCAAUUUCUUCAAAAUUUCACAUUUGUACAAAUAAAAAAUAGUAAGAAGUUUUCCAAGCAAUAUGGAAAUAAUUGCACAUUUUGCAUAUGUUUUUUUUUUUUUUGGGACACUUAACCGUAAUUGGAAUUACAAAAUUUGUAAAAGGCAGUGUAUCAAAUUCACAUAAGAGGUUAAAUUUUUUAUUUUUUUUUACCACGAGAGGUUAAAAAAAAUAACGAUCAAUACAGAUUCUGAGUCCGGUACACACACCGCCCCUUCCACGACCGAACCGGGUCAGCACCGCUAACUAUAUAAAUUCCUAAUUCCUAACAAGAAACAGAACGUUUUGACACCAAUUCGUGCUUAAUUGCUUAAACAACACUGACCCAGCAAAAGUCCCAACAAACCCAGUUUGUAAAGGGCAACAAAAUGGAAGAAGAAAGGAGCGAAUCGGUGGACGACCUCGUUCACAGAGGAGAUGUUGAUGAGGCCAUCUCUCUUCUUGAACGGGUGGUAUCGAAUUCAUCGCAUUCGGAUCUUCAAUUGUCCUCUGCUCUCUUCGACUUGUCCAAACUCUACCACUCCAAAGGCAAGCCGACGAGGCUCACUCUCGCGCACUUCUCAUCAGACAACGGUCUCAGCAGACUCCAAAUCCUCAAGGUGAUUUAAAAUUUUUGAAUAAAAAGUCAGAGGAAGAAGGCAUUGCAGCUUCUAGGGUUUCGGCUAGUAAUGGGUCUACAGAUGAUGAAGGAACGGGUUGUGGCUUCUGUCUUGAAGGAUAUAUUGGGAAACCUUCAAAAAUGCCUCCAGAUGAUUUGCCUCAUGAAAGUUGUUCCGACGAUGAUUGGGAAGCUAUCGCUGUUCGUGCUCCAGAUGAAUUACUUCCUCCUGAAUGCUUGCCAGGAGUUUCAAAACUCUCACUGGAGGAGACCAAAGUUAAAACACAUAAAAGGCGUGGAAGGGGAACAUUCUCAUAUAGGAAACAUGGCUUGUAUAGUGACCAGCAGACUGAUGAGUCUAAUGUUGAUGACUGAGAAAAUGGAAUUUUGUGCCAUAGUUAUGAAGGAGACACAGAAAUUAGAAAAGCAAAAUAUGGUACAGUUCAUGUUCUUGCUCUGGAUGACUUACCACCAAGUACGUGGACAAUUGACCUGGAAAAGCUCUUGAAAAGUUUCCAAGAUCGCGGAGUUGUGAUUCGCUGGGUUAAUGAUACAACUGCUCUUGCAGUUUUUAGAACACCUUCAAUUGGUAAGCAUAUUUUAACUAAAGAAUACAUAUUUUAAAAAUAGAGAUUAACGCUUAAUGACCUUUAAAAGUGGAUUAAAUAUGAGUGAAUUCAACUUCUUUCUAAUUUAAAAGGCAGACCAAUUUAACAUGCAAAGAUUGUAAAGUUACCCUAGGAGAAAUUUUGACAUCACAGCAUAGGAUACUAGUUUUAGUGUAUACGAGAAAUAGAAUUACAAAUCCAAGAACUAGGUGGUGGAAUUUCAGAGGGAGAAACUAAAAUUAUUUAAGAAUAGGAUAUGAGAAGUAUCAAAGUUAUUAUUUAUCAAAAAAAGAAAAAAGAAAAAAAUGUAGUAGUGAAGUACAGGACCGGAAACCCUAGGCUCUAUUGUAGAGAGUAGGCACAAUGCUUAAAAUAAAUCGAGAGUAGGCACAAUGCUUAAAUAAAUCGAGAGUAGGCACAAUGCUUCAAAUAAAUCUUAAGGGGGUGACUAGAUCUUGUUCAAUUUUAACUAACAAUAACUGAAUUUAAAAUUAUCACAAUUAUAUUUGAAAUGCCACAAUAUGAAUCCCAUUAAGGAUAGAGAAUGAACACAAGAUUUUUCGAAAACUCCAGCAGGGAAAAAUCACGAAACUUAGUCUAAGCAGAUCAAAUACAUUGACUAGCUAGAUAUUACAAAUUCUACAAUUCCAUUUAUUCUAAACCACACUUAGGUUUGUUACUAUUUGUAGGUACUAGGUUCACUGUCAAUUUGUCAAACAUAAAAUAACCAAUGGUGAGGCAUCAGAUAAAACAUAAUAGGAUGACAGUGUUCAAAAACACCAUUAACUCCCUUGGUGAAGGUGUGAAGUGUAGGGAAAAUAUGGGUGUGAGAGCAUAAGAGCUUUCUAUGUCUAAAGCUCCAUCUUGUCAUAUGGUUCUGCCUAUUUUCCUUGGCCUUAGGUCAUCUCCUUUUAUAAGUCAAGUUAGAGUGGGUGAUGUCAUUGAUGACAUCACGUGUGGUCCAUUAAUACAAUAAUGAAAAGAGAUUAAUUUCUCAAAUAAUUAAGAAGCAAUGUUAAUUAAGAUGGGGUUAAUUUGUACGCGAGUCAAAAUGGUAUUUCUCUCUCUACAAGUCUGGUCAACUCGACGGACCCUGGGCUUCAGCAACCAAACCAAGUACUUCCUCGAAUCCCAGGUAAUUCUAAGUCCUGCUCCUAACUAAGGUCUUUGAUCUUCUGUUCGAGAUAUGUUGAUGAUGUAGUAACUUUGAUCGUUAAUCAUCAAAUGUGGGCCAUUGUUGCUGUUGUGGCGUAGUCGUUAACCGUUUGACCAAGUUAUGUAGGCCAUUGUUGAUGAUGUGGCAUUUGCCAAGUGGACUCGAGCAUAUUGACACCCACAUUUAGUCCUCCUGUGCGAGUGUGCUUCGUAGAAAGUAGAAGGUUAGUUUGGCAUAAAAUGAUGUUUUGUGCUUUUAUAAGCAAAGGAGGAAUCUUUCAAGAUUCCUAAAGGAAAAAGAUUUAUGAGAAAAAGUUUAAGCAACGAGGUGUCCCUAGAUGAGGUAUCUCAGAAAGGGUCAUCUCGUGGAGAUUUCUCAACAAAAAAUUAGCAAUGAGAUAUCAUGCGUGACUUGACCGAAGUGCUCGUCGAGGCAGGACUCAAGGCUAAGAGCUCGUCGAGGUGGUGAGACAUCUCGUAGAAGUUUUCUUGGAGGAAACCUACGUACGACGCAUCCCUAUGUGGGACCUUCUAUAGUGGGGCAUCUCUGAAAAAGGCAUAUCGAGGGUAAGAGCACGCCAAAUGAAAGGCUCGAGACACUGCAACAAGAAUGAAGCGUGUUGUGCCAGGUUACUCGAUAAACUAUUAGGACUUGAAUUAAAAAAAAAAAAACACUAGUAGGACUUGGUUCAUUUGAGGCUUUAGGUCACUCGAUGACUUCAUUGGUGAAGUUUGGUCAUGCUCUGGGUCACUCUAUUGACUGUUAUGAUAGUUCAUUCGAGGCUCUAGGUCGCUCGAUGAUUUCAAGUCUGAUUUGAGGCUCUGGUCAAGUUUGUGGGCCAUUUGUUGAUGUUGCUAUGUGGACCACAAAUAUACAGGUACCUACAGUAGGUAGUCCCCCUACGCGGGUGAGCUUCGUAUAAAUUAGAAGGUUAGUCAUGCAUAAAAUGAUAUUUUGUGAUUGUAUAAGCCAGAAGAGGAAUCUUUUGAGAUUCCUAACGUUGAGGGAUCUGAUGAUGAAAAGUGUCCCAACGUUUUGCUGAUCGAGGCUCUAGGUCCUUCGAUCGGCUAUUGUGAUUUAGUUCAUUCGAGACUUUGGUUUGCUCGAUGACCAGGUUGUGGGAGUAAGAUCAAGGCUUUGGGUCCUUUGAUUAGCUGAUCGACUAAAUGACCUUGGCACAUUCGAGGCUUUGGGCGUUUGAUGUCCAUGUUGUGGGAGUCGGAUUGAGGCUCUGUGGCGCUCACCGAAUGACCUUGGCACAUUCGAGGCUCUGGGCAGUCGAUGUCCAGGUUGUGGGAGUCGAAUCGAGGCUCUAGGGCGCUCGAUCGAUUGCAUGACCUUGUCACAUUCGAGGCUUUGGGGCUAUUGAUGUCUAGGUUGCAGGAGUCGGAUCGAGGCUCUGGGGCGCUUGAUCAACUGAAUGACGUUGGCACAUUCGAGGCUUUGGGGCUGUCGAUGUCCAGGUUGUGGGAGUCAGAUUGAGGCUCCGGGACGCGCUCGAUGGACUGUGUUUGAAGAAUUAGAUUGUUCGAGUGUUUCGUAGCUUUGGGGUGCUCGAUGGACUGUGUUUGAAGAGUUAGAUCGUUCGAGUGUUUCAAGGCUUUGGGGCACUCGAUGGUUUGCAAGUGUGGCAAGUCAAUGUAUUCAUCGAAUGAACAGGUAUAAUAUAACGUUAAAACUUAUAAUUAAAACUUAUAAUUGGCAUACAAACCAUCAUAAAUUAAAAUAAGAUAAUAAAUUAAUAAUACAAAGAGAAGGACCAUAAUACAUAGGCUGCAUCUUUAUUUGUAUUGUAAAAUAUAUAUUUAACAGUGUUUAGGUCAAAUGAACUUAAAAUAUCGUGUAACAAAAUCAUGUCAUUAGGUAGGUUCGGACUUAUUACCCAUGAGCAUGAUAUUUAGUAGCAAAAAAGUGUGAGGCAUCUUGUGUCAUAUACACACUCAUUAGAUACAUGUAUGAAAUAUGCAUUGAUGGGACAAUUUAUAGCAUGAAAGAUAUGUAACUGACUUUGUUGCAUUGAGAUAUGGGAGCCGAAAAUAGUGAUAACACUUAAUAUUAUAAUUUUACAUAUGUUGAAAAUAAAUGACUUUUUUCUUUUAGGGCAAGAUUCAAUGCAAAUCUGAUUCGCCAUCUAGUCUGUCUAAGGCUGUAGUCUCAUGCUGUCUGUCUAAGGCUGUAGUCUCAUGCUGUCUGGCUAUUAGUAUAGGUGAAAUCUAAGGACCGUAAUCCUAGACUCUAAUGUAGAGUUAGCGCAAGGGGGCAAUCUUGACCUAGAGGGGGCGAAUAGGUUAGUAGGGAACCGUGAUAUGCAUCGAUCCUAUCUCAGUGUUGCGACUUUACCACGUCUCAACCUUCAUGGAGAAAUCAAAAACUGCUCUAUAGGAAACGAUCUGGUUUUUAGGGUUGAUCAUCAAAUCAUCAAGGAGCGAGAAUUUACCUUGCGAUCAUGUCUAGUAGGUUGCUUUGAUAGAGACGUAGGGAGUAUUGACGGGAUUGAAGCGUGGGCGUCGAAAACUGGAAGGUAUCAAGUGGGGUGAAAGUUUCUCCUCUGCCCAAUGAUCUGCUUUUAUUCCGGUUUCCAUCGGAAGCUGAGGCCUUAAGGGUUUUGGAUGAAGGGAGGAAGAGAUGGGGCGAAGCUUUAUUAUCCAAACAUUUGGUACUUCGCGGCUGGUUGUUCUGCUGUAAAAGAGAGAAUAAUACGAAGGGUGAUCCUGUUUGGUUAACCCCUCCAUCUAUGGUGUAACAAGCUAUUUGAAGCAAUUGGGAACUUAUGUGGUGGAUUUCUAGGUGUCGAGGUAGACGUUUCAGCGAAUAGACAGAGAAUCCUCCUCUAUGUUUCCGUCGAAAAAGUGAUACCUGAGUAUGUUUUUGUUGAGGACCAAUGUGUGGCUUUCAGGGUUAAUCUGAUAGAGGAAAUCACACCUCGCAUCCUUCCGAAAUCCUACUAUGGUCUAGGGGAGAGCCCACACAUCCUGGCUGCAACUGAAUGCAGUCGCCGAAAACCACAGAACCACCAUGGCCUCGAAGGUAAGAGACGACUGCCUUCUCAUGCGCCAGAAGCGCGUAGACGAGACAAAGUCAAUCAUGCCCUCAGUCAUCGCCUUCCGUUCCCUCGUAAUAUCGUGCUAACAGAUACCAACCACGUGGCCACGAUCGUGGCAUUAAAGAUGAUUCUUAUGUUGUGGAUUCUUUUGGGCCUAAGCGUGGAUCUACAAAGGUCUAUGGGCUUAACAUAACAAGUGGGCCGCUUGUUCAUCACGGCCCACAGGAGAUUAAGAGGGCUGCUCAACGGGGGCCUGUUUCCUUUCAAAACAAGCCUAGCCCACAUAGCAAUUUGAAGAGAGAGGUUUUACGGGGCCCAAUAAUAAAAUCUUAGUCUCUGUUAUUUAUUCCAAGCCCAGCCCACCUUCUUCUAUAGACAUAAGCCAUUCACAGAGCCGUCGUUCUAACGAAACUUCUAUAACUUUCUGGAAUUCACCGGAGAAGAAGAGAUGGAUGAAUUUAUCUAUAGCCGCGGUUGGUGGAGGCCCUGUCAAGUGAAAUCUAUUAGAGCAUCUCCAGCAGUCUAUUAAAACAUCCUUUUGUAUAAAAUAUAAACUGCCACGUAUUAUGUGAAAAUUAUUUUUAUCUCCAACUGCCACGUCACUAAUGUGUCAAAUGGUUGUAUAUAUUUUACACGACCAUUUUACACUGUCACAUUAGUAUAUUUUCUUUCUCCUCCCUCUUUUUCAUUCCAUUAACGAAUCAACCAUAUAUUAAGUAGGUUUGUAAAAUUUAUGUGGGUCCUGGCAUGACACGUGAUUGAUUAUUAUUGGCGGAUACAUUUUUACACAAACGAUAUAAAAUAAUAGCUGGAGCUAAAGAUGAGUAGUCUAAAUUUUUUGUGUAAAUCUACUAUGACUGCCUGGCCUUUGCGAGAGGUCGAUUCACAAGGUCAAUAUGAAUGUGGUUUUGGAAGUUUUGGAAAGUCAAUUUUACAGGGACCAAUGGCUUGAUUCAUUUUAUAAUUAGUGAAUAAUUAAUUUAAUAGAAAAGAUAGUAUGUUUAAAAUUCUAAUUAAACUAAACAAAAUAACAAAUGCAAAUAAAAGAAAAGAUAAAUGGAUAACGGAAUGGAGAUAGAGAUACUUAGGUCAUAGACUUCACCUUUGGCCAUGUAAUUGUACCAUUGUAAUCAAAUUGGGGAAAAUAAUUGUGCAAUUACAGAAUUGUGGCUAUAAGCACACAAUCAUGGUUAAGAGAAUAUGUAAAUUGCAUCAAUAAGCAUAACUCAUCAAAGCUAAGCAUGAAUUGUCUACCUGCCUACUUCUACACUAGUGUUGUAGCUCAACCCAUCAAAUCUAAGUAUGAACUAUCAAAUCAAGUGCAAAUACAUCAAUUAAGCACCAUUGUUUAACCAUUAACCAUACAACUACAAGUAGUGAAGAUGUUGAGAUCAAUAAACCACAAUCAAUGCAUAAGACAAUGUAAAGAUGAUAAGGAGAUUAAUUGAACAAUUAAACACACAACUAAUCUUGGUACAACCAACUAUAAUUCGCAAGGUUAAACAAUUUACACAAUUAAACCCCAAAUUGAAGACAAAUAAUACAAUACUCGGCUUAGGGCUUCAUCCAAGCCCUAAGAGAAGAAAUCGCUAGCUAUAGAGAUGACAAAGAUGAACAUUAAAACUCCAGUCUCCAUCUCCAAGCACAACCCAAGAUCUUCAAUGGUUGAGAGAGGGUUUCUAAAGAGACAAAGUCUUCAAAAGUUGGCCUCUCAUCAACUCUAAUCCGCAUCCUCCUCCAAAGGAGGCUUCAUCCUCUACAUAUGCUCAGAUUUGUGGUUCUAGGAUGGUUAGAACUUGGCCCAAGGAUCUUACAUUUGAUGCCCAGCUGACGUUGGUUCGAAAAGAGCUUCAGAUCUGAUUUUGUAUAGCUUCUGCGUUGAACUCGAUUGUUCGAGCUUAAGGCUCGAUUGAUUGAGUUUAAGGCUCGAUCGAUUGAGCCUCAAAUAGUGCUCGGUCGAUUGAGCUGAACAAUGAAUUAUGCACUUCAGCGUUCUUUUGCUCCCAUUCCUCGCCAAGACUCUGUUUGACCUUCCCAAGGGCUUCAAGGCAUUAGAUUUAGCUCGUUUAAGCCUUAUGAACCUGAAAUCGAAAGUAAAACAAAUUAAGACUAAAACGGAAAAAUAAAGAUAGAUCAAGGUUCUAAUAUAUCCAAGGUUAAGGGUUGAAAUGUACAUAUUUCAACACUUAUCACACCCCCAAACUUAAAUAUUGCUAGUCGGCAAUGAGUAAAGAAAAUAAAAUAAAUGCAAUAACCAACUAAAUAAAAAUAAUAAAAAUAUAGUGCUAUUUUCGUAAGGAUCACGGUUGCAUUUAGCAUAUGCAAUAAGCCUUUUACCCCUAGGUUAUCCCUAGAGGAUGAGUGGACUCAUGUGAGGGUUUUCAGAAAUGAUACUCAUAAACAUCAAAGGUUCAUCUUCACUAAAGAAGCAUUAAAGCAUAUUUCCACAAUUAUCAAGAAAAGACUACCUCAAGUAUGUAAAUUUCAGCCAUUUCUAAGCUAUUCUCAAUAUUUCAACAUCAUAGAAGCAAAUAUGGUCCCCACACAUCAAGCAAGUCAACCAUGGCUAUCAAAAUCAAUUCUAGCAUCAUUUUUUAGUGAACCGACAUAUACAUAUGUUGUUAUCUUAGCAUAGUCAAUGUAAAGAUCACAAUCCGGCCUCAAACUAACACACAUCUCAAAUACCAAUCAUCAAAACUAUAAAUGAACUUUUUAUUCAAUUUUUUUUUUUUUGAAUGGAAUCGAAAAUGAAAGCAUAGUGUAAUGUAAAGAUCUCUUAAGUUCUCUAGAAGACUUAUGUAACGAACGUUGGAUCAAUAGCUCUCAAACCGGACAGCUUUAGGGCAUUAGGUGUGAAGACACUCCUAAUGACUUAAUAGCUCAAAUCAACUAGGUUACAAAUUAAGACAACUCUCACUUCUCAUUUCCUAACUCUUCACCUCUGUUGGUGAGAGCAUUCAUUACUUUAUCUGGACCCUUCGCCUUUUUGAUGCUAGAAUUCAAUGCUUAAUGAUCCCGGUUACUUAGCAAAAAAGGUUGUUAAUUAGCAUGCAAGGUCAUUUUGUCAAGAUUAAUGACUCCUCAAAGCCUGCACACCAAAACUUCACCAUCUAUUAGAAAGUAUGGAUCGCAAUGGGGCAAGCUCUGGAUAGGGAACCUCCGCUCCAUCUUACCCCCAAGAAACAUUUACUUCUUAAAGCUAUCCUGAGCCCAAGGCAGGGUGUGUUUUGCAUUGGUAAUCCUCAAGUUCAUGCUCUACGUCAAUGAAACAUGGCAGCGGCUUCGUGGAGGAAUGUAAUGAAAUUUUAUUUAAUUAAUGAAAAUAGUUUGCCACAUGGAACACUGUACCUUUUGCAGCAUGCUUUUGCAUGACAGACUUCACAGUUGGGCUGUAUGCAUCAAAGGUUGAAAACUAGGGGAUUUAUUGAGUUGAAUUCACCCAGGGAAACAAAAAAAGAAGGUUCAUUCGAAUUUGACUUCUCAACCCCAAGAUCAUGUAGUAUGGUUAUCACCUAUGUUACCCGGAUUCUUCAAAAGUAGGUAAGGUACUCAUGUUGGACACACAAUACUCGGACAUGGGUAUGUGUAUCCGAAACCUUUGGUUGGACAUGUGCCUAAAAAACAGAUGCAAUAAUUCAUUGUUAUCAUAUUAUUGCUUCAAAAUAAAUGAAUUGAUUAUAUAAGACACUGUGUUACAUAAUGACAUUGUUUUACUUUAGAAACUAAAAUAAGUUAUAAAAUUAUAUUAAUAUUUAGUAAUAUCCAUGUGGCUUGUUUGGGGAUUUGGCAUAUCCGAUGCAUGAAUAUACACGUACCCAAGUUCAGGUAAUAUAUUUUAUCGCACGUUGUUAAGCUUGAAGCAAUCCACAAUUACUUGCAUCCCUCAUUGAAAGUUUAUUAGAACAUAGAAUCUGUAAAGCUUUUGCAGUGGCACAUUGUCUGCACCCUCAUACCGAACCCAAUAUUUGGCGUUAUAGGUUACCCAAAAAUUUGGAUCAAUUUUUUUUUUGCAAGCAAUCUGAUGUGAUCACUAGUAUAGUUGAAGCAAUGACAGUGUUUGCUUGAGUGGUUUACAUUUCUACUAUACUUUUAGCUAAAAAUAUGUUUCAUU
This is an RNA transcript of Cornus florida, 9863 nucleotides long. RefSeq lists it as uncharacterized. The record is from RefSeq and is a predicted model, not a curated record. Lineage: Eukaryota; Viridiplantae; Streptophyta; Magnoliopsida; Cornales; Cornaceae. The transcript has 5 exons.